GAUUGACGGACUGAAGGCUCUUUCUCGAUUCCGUGGAAAGUGGUGCAUGGCCGUUUUUGGUUGGUGGAUCGAUCCGUCUGGUUAAUUCCGUUAACGAACGAGACCUCGGCACUCCGAAUAGCGCGGCGGACGUCGCGGCCUCCGGGCCGUCUUCCGCACGAGCUUCUUAGAGGGACCGUCCCCCGCCGGGGAAGGAGGUGCGAGGCAACGACAGGUCUGUGAUGCCCUUAGAUGUUCUGGGCCGCACGCGCAUUACACUGACGCGUCCAACGGGUGACUCCCGACCCGAAGGGGCCGGGGAAUCCGCAAGGCGCGUCGUGAUGGGGAUUGAACGUUGCAAUUGUUGUUCACGAACGAGGAAUUCCUAGUAGGCGCGGGUCAUCAACCCGCGCCGAUUACGUCCCUGCCCUUUGUACACACCGCCC
RNAcentral lists this ribosomal RNA (425 nucleotides) under uncultured eukaryote. RNAcentral's name for it is "bacterial SSU rRNA". It matches the Rfam family "Eukaryotic small subunit ribosomal RNA", at positions 1238 to 1674 of the family's 1831-position model. The record is from RNAcentral.